RNAcentral lists this ribosomal RNA (234 nucleotides) under uncultured bacterium. RNAcentral describes it as "partial 16S ribosomal RNA". It matches the Rfam family "Bacterial small subunit ribosomal RNA", at positions 536 to 769 of the family's 1533-position model. The record is from RNAcentral.
AAGCGUUAUCCGGAUUUACUGGGUGUAAAGGGAGCGUAGACGGCCAGGCAAGUCUGAUGUGAAAACCCGGGGCUCAACCCCGGGACUGCAUUGGAAACUGUCAGGCUAGAGUGCCGGAGAGGCAAGCGGAAUUCCUAGUGUAGCGGUGAAAUGCGUAGAUAUUAGGAAGAACACCAGUGGCGAAGGCGGCCUGCUGGACGGUAACUGACGUUGAGGCUCGAAAGCGUGGGGAGC